RNAcentral lists this ribosomal RNA (1098 nucleotides) under uncultured archaeon. RNAcentral describes it as "bacterial SSU rRNA". It matches the Rfam family "Archaeal small subunit ribosomal RNA", at positions 1 to 921 of the family's 1478-position model. The record is from RNAcentral.
UUCCGGUUGAUCCUGCCGGACCCUACUGCUAUCGGGGUGGGACUAAGACAUGCGAGUCGUGCGUCUCUAGGCCAUGGUAGAGACGCGGCAUACGGCUCAGUAACACGUGGCUAACCUACCCUUAGGACGGGAAUACCCCCGGGAAACCACGCGCAGGCACGUAAUCACCUUUCUCGACACGCUCAAAGCAUGGCUAUGUAACGUAUAGCUCGAGUAAACCGCUUUCCUUGACGGAAAAAUCUAACCUGAGAAGCUUUGAGCCAACCAUUCACGAUAACACAUCACCGUUUUCAGAAACAACAGAAGCUCUGGCGUGGCCCAAAACUGGGGUUAAUACCCGAUGGGCGAGGAGGCCUGUAACGGUUCUUCGCUGAAAAGACGUUGGAACCAUGCUUCUCAACGUCGCCUAAGAUGGGGCCGCGGCCGAUCAGUUGUUGUGAGUAACGGCUCACCAAGCCUAUACGGUACGGGCGUGAGAGCGAAGCCCGAGAUGGGCACUGAGACAGGAUCCAGCCCUACGGGCGCAGCAGCCGCGAAACUCGCUAUGUGCGAAAGCACGACGGGCACCUCGAGUGUCAGCCGCUGAGGUUGACUUUCCUCGGUCUAAAGGCCGGGAAUAAGGGGGCAAGAUUGGUGUCAGCCGCCGCGGUAAUACCAACCCCCGAGUGGUCGGGACCAUUACUGGGCUUAAAGCGUCCGUAGCCGGUCCAGCAAGUCCUCCGUUAAAUCCGGCGUCUUAAGCGUCGGGCUGCGGAGGAUACUACUGGACUUGGGAGUGGAAGAGGCCGGCGGUACUCCUUGGGGAGGGGUAAAAUCCUCAGAUCCAAGGAGGACCAUCAGUGGCGAAGGCGGCCGGCCAGGACACGUCCGACGGUGAGGGACGAAAGCUGGGGGAGCGAUUGGGAUUAGAUACCCCAGUAGUCCCAGCUGUAAACGAUGCAGGCUAGGUGUGUGAACGGCUACGAGCCGUUCAUGUGCCGUAGAGAAAUCGUUAAGCCUGCCGCCUGGGGAGUACGGCCGCAAGGCUGAAACUUAAAGGAAUUGGCGGGGGAGCACCACAAGGGGUGAAUCCUGCGGUUUAAUUGGAUUCAACGCCGG